Passer domesticus (house sparrow) is the source of this 690-nucleotide long non-coding RNA. RefSeq lists it as uncharacterized. The transcript has 3 exons. The record is from RefSeq and is a predicted model, not a curated record. Lineage: Eukaryota; Metazoa; Chordata; Aves; Passeriformes; Passeridae.
UCAAUAAAAUGUUAACUCUCUGAUAAGUCUUAUGCCAUGAAUAACAAACAUUUUCAGUCAGCAGUUUGCAAACAAGACAUGGACUAAUAUUUGUUUGUGUAAAGCAUUCAGCACAGAAGCAUAAAAGAUAUUUUGUAAAAAUCAGGAUUAGUUCACACAUUGUUCCUAUGCAGGCGAAAAAGUUGGAAACAUCUUCUCUUUCAUGCACAAUAACUAAACCAGCUCUUAUGAACCAGUGUCACUCUGGAGUUCUCAAUGUGCUGGGUGUGGACAGAAAGACAUCAACAGCUCAUAUGUGGGGGAGGAAAAUUACCAUUCCGAGUCAGACUGAAUAGCAUCCAUCAUUGACAAGUCUGUCUAUGAUGCCGUGGAAUCUAGAAGGUGAGGACAUCAUGCUACAAUCUUGAAUUUCUAAAUGAGUAGACCAAGCUUCAUUGCACAUUGUUUGGUGUAUUUUCAAUUCUACUUUUCCUCAUGAGCAAAGCAUAGAAAAUUUGAAGAUGGCAGAUCUUCACACUCAGACAUUAAUUGCUGUUUUCAAUUGCUUCUUGCUCUCAAUAAUAGUCUUGUAAACCACCAUGUAAACAAAAAAUUAAAUUCUGGACAUUUUAUUGGGGAAAAAAAUGGAGCAAAUCAACAUUACAAAUUCAACUGCAGUAUUUUUGAUCUUGAGAAAUGUUUUAAAGAACU